RNAcentral lists this transfer RNA (72 nucleotides) under Octadecabacter sp. Its description in RNAcentral is "tRNA-Leu". It matches the Rfam family "tRNA". Rfam says of the family: Transfer RNA (tRNA) molecules are approximately 80 nucleotides in length. Their secondary structure includes four short double-helical elements and three loops (D, anti-codon, and T loops). Further hydrogen bonds mediate the characteristic L-shaped molecular structure. tRNAs have two regions of fundamental functional importance: the anti-codon, which is responsible for specific mRNA codon recognition, and the 3' end, to which the tRNAs corresponding amino acid is attached (by aminoacyl-tRNA synthetases). tRNAs cope with the degeneracy of the genetic code in two manners: having more than one tRNA (with a specific anti-codon) for a particular amino acid; and 'wobble' base-pairing, i.e. permitting non-standard base-pairing at the 3rd anti-codon position. The record is from RNAcentral. Lineage: Bacteria; Pseudomonadati; Pseudomonadota; Alphaproteobacteria; Rhodobacterales; Roseobacteraceae.
GCGGGUGUGGCGGAAUUGGUAGACGCACCAGAUUUAGGUUCUGGCGCNNUUCGAGUCCCUUCACCCGCACCA